AUUGAACGCUGGCGGCAUGCCUUACACACGCAAGUCGAACGGCAGCACGGGUGCUUGCCCCUGGUGGCGAGUGGCGAACGGGUGAGUAAUACAUCGGAACAUGUCCUGUAGUGGGGGAUAGCCCGGCGAAAGCCGGAUUAAUACCGCAUACGAUCUACGGAUGAAAGCGGGGGACCUUCGGGCCUCGCGCUAUAGGGUUGGCCGAUGGCUGAUUAGCUAGUUGGUGGGGUAAAGGCCUACCAAGGCGACGAUCAGUAGCUGGUCUGAGAGGACGACCAGCCACACUGGGACUGAGACACGGCCCAGACUCCUACGGGAGGCAGCAGUGGGGAAUUUUGGACAAUGGGCGAAAGCCUGAUCCAGCAAUGCCGCGUGUGUGAAGAAGGCCUUCGGGUUGUAAAGCACUUUUGUCCGGAAAGAAAUCCUUGGCCCUAAUACGGUCGGGGGAUGACGGUACCGGAAGAAUAAGCACCGGCUAACUACGUG
Molecule: ribosomal RNA, 486 nt
Filed under: uncultured bacterium
Lineage: Bacteria
Description: partial 16S ribosomal RNA
Rfam family: Bacterial small subunit ribosomal RNA
Source: RNAcentral